UUGGGGGGUUCCCUUUUAUCAUGCAACUCGAACGGCAGCACGGGUGCUUGCACCUGGUGGCGAGUGGCGAACGGGUGAGUAAUACAUCGGAACAUGUCCUGUAGUGGGGGAUAGCCCGGCGAAAGCCGGAUUAAUACCGCAUACGAUCUACGGAUGAAAGCGGGGGAUCUUCGGACCUCGCGCUAUAGGGUUGGCCGAUGGCUGAUUAGCUAGUUGGUGGGGUAAAGGCCUACCAAGGCGACGAUCAGUAGCUGGUCUGAGAGGACGACCAGCCACACUGGGACUGAGACACGGCCCAGACUCCUACGGGAGGCAGCAGUGGGGAAUUUUGGACAAUGGGCGAAAGCCUGAUCCAGCAAUGCCGCGUGUGUGAAGAAGGCCUUCGGGUUGUAAAGCACUUUUGUCCGGAAAGAAAUCCUUGGCUCUAAUACAGUCGGGGGAUGACGGUACCGGAAGAAUAAGCACCGGCUAACUACGUGCCAGACCGCG
This 489-nucleotide ribosomal RNA is filed under the name Burkholderia sp. YC75B. RNAcentral describes it as "bacterial SSU rRNA". It matches the Rfam family "Bacterial small subunit ribosomal RNA", at positions 38 to 519 of the family's 1533-position model. The record is from RNAcentral. Lineage: Bacteria; Pseudomonadati; Pseudomonadota; Betaproteobacteria; Burkholderiales; Burkholderiaceae.